RNAcentral lists this long non-coding RNA (1541 nucleotides) under Physcomitrium patens. Its description in RNAcentral is "long non-coding RNA (PPAT_LNC012778)". The record is from RNAcentral. Lineage: Eukaryota; Viridiplantae; Streptophyta; Bryopsida; Funariales; Funariaceae.
UGACUUGGGUUUUAUGAAAUAAAAUAGGAUUUAUAUUUUGAGUGAUUUCGAGAGUUUUGUUGCAGAUCUAUGGGUGAAUUUUUUUGGAUUCAUGGUUAUAGUUGUGUUAAAUACAUGUUAUGAAUUUGAGCUUGAUCUAACGGUUGAACUAAGAGAUAUUGAGGUUUAAGUGAGUCAAGGUCUCAAAAAGUAGAAUUUUAGGUCCAGUGAGGGUUUUUAAGAUUUCAUGCAAUCUACUAGUUGGAUUGGAAUAAAUCUUGUGUGAGAGGAUAUAAAACUUGUUUUCCUAUGUCCAUGAGAAAUUUGAAACCAAUUGAAUGGCGCAAAGAAGAAAAUUGACUCUGGAAGGUUGGCAAUAAGAAUGGAGAAGGAGGCCGGCUAACACUCGAACACAUUUUUGAGGUUUUCGUCAAUUUGGUAACUCCGAUCCUUUUCAAAAAAAUUUUGCUUGUUUUGAACUUGAUUUUUAAGAAGUGUGCAAAUUUUGAAUUGAGAUCAACGGUUUAUUCAUUAGAUAUUGAGGUUUAAAUCUGUCAUAGGAAUUAUUAGGAUUUGGAUUAGGAUUUGGAUUAGGGUUUAGGAUUUAGUUAGGGUUUGAUUUAGGGUUUGGAUUAGAGUUUGGACUAGGAUUUGGUUAGGGUUUGAUUUAAGGUUUAGUUUAGGGUUUAGGAUUUGGAUUAGAAUUUAGGGUUGGAUUAGGGUUUGGAUUAGGGUUUGGAUUAGGAUUUAGGAUUUGGUUAGGGUUUGAUUUAGGGUUUAGGAUUUGGAAUAGGGUUUAAUUUAAGAUUUGUUUAGGAUUUGAAUUAGGAUUUAGGAUUUGGAAUAGGGUUUAAUUUAAGAUUUGUUUAGGAUUUGACUUAGGAUUUAGAAAUUAUUAGGGUUUAAGAUUUAAUUAGGUUUGGUCUAAAGUUGAAUAAAAUUCAAUAGGGUUUUAACUAGAAUUAAAUUAAGGUUGAAUUGACAUAUAUUUGAGUAAAAUUUGUGAUCAUUCUAAUAUUUCUUUAAGAAUUUUAUUGUUUGUUUGAAAUUUCUUUGAGUUGUUUUGAAUUUGAUUACGUUUGUUUACCAUUAUUAUAGUCUAAUUAGAAAAUUGUUAGUAUUCUAAUAGAAUACUAAAAAUGCUCUAAUUAGACCAUAAUAAUGCUAAGCAAGCUUAAUCAAAUUUAAAAAAAACUCAAAGAAAUUUCAAACAAACAAUAAGAAUUCUUAAAGAAAUAUUAAAAGGAUGACAAAUAUCACUCAAAUACAUCUCAAUUCAAUCUUAAUUUAAUUCUAGUUAAAAUCCUAUUGAAUUUCAUUCAAAUAUAGGCCAAAACUAAUUGAAUCUUAAAUCCUAAUAAAAUCCUAAAUCAUGAAUCAAAUCCUAAAUAAAUCUUAAACCAACCACCAACCAAAUCCUAAACCAAAUCCUAACCAAAUCCUAAACCAAAUCCUAAACCAAAUCCUAAACCCUAAAUCAAACCUUAAUCGAAUCCUAAUCCAAAUCCUAAAUCCUAAAUCAAACCUUAACCAAAUCCUAAAUCCUAAAUCAAAUCCUAAUC